UUUGUGGUUCAACUGAUUUGAAGAGCUUGCUCAGAUAUGACGAUGGACAUUGCAAAGAGUGGCGAACGGGUGAGUAACACGUGGGAAACCUACCUCUUAGCAGGGGAUAACAUUUGGAAACAGAUGCUAAUACCGUAUAACAAUGACAACCGCAUGGUUGUUAUUUAAAAGAUGGUUCUGCUAUCACUAAGAGAUGGUCCCGCGGUGCAUUAGCUAGUUGGUAAGGUAAUGGCUUACCAAGGCGAUGAUGCAUAGCCGAGUUGAGAGACUGAUCGGCCACAAUGGGACUGAGACACGGCCCAUACUCCUACGGGAGGCAGCAGUAGGGAAUCUUCCACAAUGGGCGAAAGCCUGAUGGAGCAACGCCGCGUGUGUGAUGAAGGGUUUCGGCUCGUAAAACACUGUUGUAAGAGAAGAAUGACAUUGAGAGUAACUGUUCAAUGUGUGACGGUAUCUUACCAGAAAGGAACGGCUAAAUACGUGCCAGCAGCCGCGGUAAUACGUAUGUUCCAAGCGUUAUCCGGAUUUAUUGGGCGUAAAGCGAGCGCAGACGGUUAUUUAAGUCUGAAGUGAAAGCCCUCAGCUCAACUGAGGAAUUGCUUUGGAAACUGGAUGACUUGAGUGCAGUAGAGGAAAGUGGAACUCCAUGUGUAGCGGUGAAAUGCGUAGAUAUAUGGAAGAACACCAGUGGCGAAGGCGGCUUUCUGGACUGUAACUGACGUUGAGGCUCGAAAGUGUGGGUAGCAAACAGGAUUAGAUACCCUGGUAGUCCACACCGUAAACGAUGAGUGCUAGGUGUUUGAGGGUUUCCGCCCUUAAGUGCCGCAGCUAACGCAUUAAGCACUCCGCCUGGGGAGUACGACCGCAAGGUUGAAACUCAAAGGAAUUGACGGGGACCCGCACAAGCGGUGGAGCAUGUGGUUUAAUUCGAAGCAACGCGAAGAACCUUACCAGGUCUUGACAUCCCUUGACAACUCCAGAGAUGGAGCGUUCCCUUCGGGGACAAGGUGACAGGUGGUGCAUGGUUGUCGUCAGCUCGUGUCGUGAGAUGUUGGGUUAAGUCCCGCAACGAGCGCAACCCUUAUUACUAGUUGCCAGCAUUCAGUUGGGCACUCUAGUGAGACUGCCGGUGACAAACCGGAGGAAGGUGGGGAUGACGUCAAAUCAUCAUGCCCCUUAUGACCUGGGCUACACACGUGCUACAAUGGCGUAUACAACGAGUUGCCAACCCGCGAGGGUGAGCUAAUCUCUUAAAGUACGUCUCAGUUCGGAUUGUAGGCUGCAACUCGCCUACAUGAAGUCGGAAUCGCUAGUAAUCGCGGAUCAGCACGCCGCGGUGAAUACGUUCCCGGGUCUUGUACACACCGCCCGUCACACCAUGAGAGUUUGUAACACCCAAAGCCGGUGGGGUAA
RNAcentral lists this ribosomal RNA (1413 nucleotides) under Weissella sp. AHM64. RNAcentral's name for it is "bacterial SSU rRNA". It matches the Rfam family "Bacterial small subunit ribosomal RNA", at positions 67 to 1438 of the family's 1533-position model. The record is from RNAcentral. Lineage: Bacteria; Bacillati; Bacillota; Bacilli; Lactobacillales; Lactobacillaceae.